GACGGAGGGGGCUAGCGUUGUUCGGAAUUACUGGGCGUAAAGCGCGCGUAGGCGGCUUUGCAAGUCAGUGGUGAAAGCCUGGAGCUCAACUCCAGAACUGCCUUUGAAACUGCAUCGCUAGAAUCAUGGAGAGGUUAGUGGAAUUCCGAGUGUAGAGGUGAAAUUCGUAGAUAUUCGGAAGAACACCAGUGGCGAAGGCGACUAACUGGACAUGUAUUGACGCUGAGGUGCGAAAGCGUGGGGAGCAAACAGG
This 253-nucleotide ribosomal RNA is filed under the name uncultured bacterium. RNAcentral describes it as "partial 16S ribosomal RNA". It matches the Rfam family "Bacterial small subunit ribosomal RNA", at positions 524 to 776 of the family's 1533-position model. The record is from RNAcentral.